Molecule: ribosomal RNA, 492 nt
Filed under: uncultured bacterium
Lineage: Bacteria
Description: partial 16S ribosomal RNA
Rfam family: Bacterial small subunit ribosomal RNA
Source: RNAcentral
AGUGAACGCUGGCGGUAGGCCUAACACAUGCAAGUCGAACGGCAGCACAGUAAGAGCUUGCUCUUACGGGUGGCGAGUGGCGGACGGGUGAGGAAUACAUCGGAAUCUACUUUUUCGUGGGGGAGAACGUAGGGAAACUUACGCUAAUACCGCAUACGACCUACGGGUGAAAGCAGGGGAUCUUCGGACCUUGCGCGAUUGAAUGAGCCGAUGUCGGAUUAGCUAGUUGGCGGGGUAAAGGCACAUCAAGGCGACGAUCCGUAGCUGGUCUGAGAGGAUGACCAGCCACACUGGAACUGAGACACGGUCCAGACUCCUACGGGAGGCAGCAGUGGGGAAUAUUGGACAAUGGGCGCAAGCCUGACCCAGCCAUACCGCGUGGGUGAAGAAGGCCUUCGGGUUGUAAAGCCCUUUUGUUGGGAAAGAAAAGCAGCAGGUUAAUACCCCGCUGUUCUGACGGUACCCAAAGAAUAAGCACCGGCUAACUUCGUG